This 70-nucleotide transfer RNA is filed under the name Zebrias crossolepis. RNAcentral describes it as "tRNA-Ile". It matches the Rfam family "tRNA". Rfam says of the family: Transfer RNA (tRNA) molecules are approximately 80 nucleotides in length. Their secondary structure includes four short double-helical elements and three loops (D, anti-codon, and T loops). The record is from RNAcentral. Lineage: Eukaryota; Metazoa; Chordata; Actinopteri; Pleuronectiformes; Soleidae.
GGAACUGUGCCUGAAUUAAAGGUUUACUUUGAUAGAGUGAAACAUGAGGGUUGAAAUCCCUCCGGCUCCU